UCGCCCUUAGAGUUGAUCCUGGCUCAGGAUGAUGCUAGCGGCGCGCUUAACGCAUGCAAGUCGAGCGAUGAGGCUCCCUUCGGGGAGUACAUCAGCGGCAGACGGGUGAGUAACACGUAGGUAACCUGCCCUCAAGACGGGGAUAACGCCUGGAAACGGGCGCUAAUACCGGAUGACCUUAGUUGGGGAAGAUCCGAUUAAGGAAAGGCUAUGGCGCUUGAGGAGGGGCCUGCGGCCCAUCAGUUAGUUGGUAGGGUAACGGCCUACCAAGGCGAAGACGGGUAGGGGGUGUGAAAGCACGGGCCCCCACACUGGGACUGAGACACGGCCCAGACUCCUACGGGAGGCAGCAGCGGGGAGUAUUGCGCAAUGGACGGAAGUCAGACGCAGCGACGCCGCGUGGGUGAAGAAGGCCUUCGGGUUGUAAAGCCCUUUUCUGAGGGAAGAGAAAGGACGGUACCUUAGGAAUAAGCGUCGGCUAACUACGUGCCAGCAGCCGCGGUAAGACGUAGGACGCGAGCGUUAUCCGGAUUUACUGGGCGUAAAGCGUGUGUAGGCGGCGUGACAAGUUGGGCGUGAAAGCCCCGUGCUCAACGCGGGGAGGCCGCACAAUACUGUCAGGCUAGAGGGCACCAGAGGGGUGUGGAAUUCCCAGAGUAGCGGUAAAAUGCGCAGAUAUCGGGAGGAACACCGGUGGCGAAAGCGGCACCCUGGGGUGCGCCUGACGCUGAGAGACGACAGCUAGGGGAGCGAACAGGAUUAGAGACCCUGGUAGUCCUAGCCGUAAACGAUGGAUGCUAGGUGUAGGAGUGAAGAGCUUCUGUGCCGCAGCGAACGCGAUAAGCAACCCGCCUGGGGAGUACGGCCGCAAGGCUUAAACUCAAACGAAUUGACGGGGACCGCACAAGCAGCGGAGCGUGUGGUUU
RNAcentral lists this ribosomal RNA (926 nucleotides) under uncultured organism. RNAcentral describes it as "bacterial SSU rRNA". It matches the Rfam family "Bacterial small subunit ribosomal RNA", at positions 1 to 947 of the family's 1533-position model. The record is from RNAcentral.